UUGCGGCACGAGUUGUAGAUUGCAGGUUGGAGUCUGUGUGGAAGGCGGUGUCCAAGUCCCUUGGAACAGGGCGCCCAGGAGGGUGAGAGCCCCGUGGGAUGCCGGCGGAAGCAGUGAGGCCCUUCUGACGAGUCGAGUUGUUUGGGAAUGCAGCUCCAAGCGGGUGGUAAAUUCCAUCUAAGGCUAAAUACUGGCGAGAGACCGAUAGCGAACAAGUACUGUGAAGGAAAGAUGAAAAGCACUUUGAAAAGAGAGUGAAACAGCACGUGAAAUUGUUGAAAGGGAAGGGUAUUGCGCCCGACAUGGGGAUUGCGCACCGCUGCCUCUCGUGGGCGGCGCUCUGGGCUUUCCCUGGGCCAGCAUCGGUUCUUGCUGCAGGAGAAGGGGUUCUGGAACGUGGCUCUUCGGAGUGUUAUAGCCGGGGCCAGAUGCUGCGUGCGGGGACCGAGGACUGCGGCCGUGUAGGUCACGGAUGCUGGC
Molecule: ribosomal RNA, 480 nt
Filed under: Pichia kudriavzevii
Lineage: Eukaryota; Fungi; Ascomycota; Pichiomycetes; Pichiales; Pichiaceae
Description: eukaryotic LSU rRNA
Rfam family: Eukaryotic large subunit ribosomal RNA
Source: RNAcentral